Non-coding RNA from Linepithema humile (Argentine ant), 472 nucleotides. The record is from RefSeq and is a predicted model, not a curated record. Lineage: Eukaryota; Metazoa; Arthropoda; Insecta; Hymenoptera; Formicidae.
CAAUCGAAGAUUUUCAGGAAUUGGAAACUGAUAAAGAUCGUUUGCAGAAAUUGGCAUCAUAUCUAAAGUUUAUUGGGGGAAUCAAAUUAAGAGAAGCUCUCAGUCAUUUUCAAAAGGAAACCAUGACAGAUGAAUUGACCUCUAUGUUUACUUAUUGGGGUAGGAAGAAACAUUCAUUGGCCUUUUAUAAUACACAAACUGCAAAAGUGUUUUUUAUGCAGCUAAAAUGUGCCCAAAUUUUGAAGGGCCCUUAACAAGGACCGCAUUUAAAUUAGAAAUGAUGGAAGUUUUUCGUGCUGCAAAACAACGGCACUAUCUGAAAAGUAAAGUUAAAACUUCAGCAGCUAUUUUAGAAACGGAAACAUCUUAUACAGAUAUAUUUCCUGAAGCAGUAUUUGAUGAAAAUGUUCCUGAUGAAGACACUGCUGACACUUCAGAAAUGGAAGAUGAUGUGUCCGAAAGUAAUUAAUCU